CCACUAACUCCGUCCAGCAGCAGGACUUGUCACCAUCCACACAAACAACACUGCAAACAGGGUUGUCUGUGAUCAUUCACACACAUACACAUUCAGCCCUCCGGAAUUUCACCAUCAAGGAAGUACUUUAUCGACUCCCGUGGCUUCUCCUUCGUUGGUCUGUGCACAGAGUCGUCGCCAUGGUAGAUGAGGAUCCUUUACCCCAGAAGCUAUUUUGAAUUGGAUGUUGUCAUUUGCAAUGAAAGGAGUCCAGAUACAAAGGCACGUAUAUUUCCCAUUUUAAGUGACUGAACAAGAGAAGUAAAUCUUCUGAAUGACUGCAGCACAAUGGAUUUCUACCAGGCGGGUAUGAGAAUAUCCCUUUCUUCACGUUCCCAUUAGCACUGAGUGUUGAUGCUGAGAUCGUUAAGGAAAUUUGCCAUGCUCAGGUGGCCCUAUCUGGCACAUAAGUAGAAACAGAUGUUGAGAAGAGCAAGGAGGUAUGUGGUGCCGAUGUCUCAGUUCUGGGAAAAGGAAACACUUCACAGAAAAUAGGUGCCACCUGUAGGGGGUUGCAGUCUGCCAAGUGAAACCAGUUUGGCUAAAGAUAGCUAAAAAUAUUCCCCUAGGGUAUAAGGUAAUGUUUGUUUAUGUAUGAGACUGAAUGAGGGUGUGUGUGUGUCUACGUGUGUGUGAAUGCAUGUGUACCUUCUGCAUCAUCCACUCCAAUGAAGCCUUUUGACCUGUUCAUGAAUCCAAUUGCUGAAAGAACAAUUUUUAUUUAAUAUUUGACCUGUUAAGAAAAAUAGAACUGUUAAAUAAAUUUUUAACGGGUGCAGAAGAAAG
This 825-nucleotide long non-coding RNA is filed under the name Homo sapiens (human). RNAcentral's name for it is "HSALNT0072438". The record is from RNAcentral. Lineage: Eukaryota; Metazoa; Chordata; Mammalia; Primates; Hominidae.